GCCCAAGUGAAGGCAACAGGCCGCUGACAGCCUGAAAGGAAAUGAGUGAGUCUUUGGUGGUUUGUAAUGUUGCUGAAGAUUUAGUGCAAAAGCUGAGAAAGUUUCAUUUUCACAAAGAAAUGAACAAUGCUGCUAUUAUAAUGAAAACUGACAAGGAUAAACGCCGGGUAGUACUGGAUGAGGAGCUGGAGGGUAUUUCACCAGAUGAACUUAAAGAUGAACUGCCUGAACGACAACCUCACUUCAUUGUGUAUAGCUAUAAAUAUCAACAUAAUGGAUGGGAGAGUUCCAUAUCCUUUGUGCUUUAUUUUCUCCAGUUCUGUUGGACGUAAGCCUGAACAACAGAUGAUGUAUGCUGGGAGUAAGAAUAAGCUAGUCCAGAGAGCUGAACUAACCAAGGUAUUUGAAAUAAGAAAUAUGGAAGACCUAACUGAAGAAUGGUUAAGUGAUAAACUUGGAUUUUUCCACUAAUGUGAACUUCUGUGUUUCCAAAGUAUUUAUGUAUUAACCUGACCAUACUGGAACCAGACAUCAAUACUUAUUUGUGUCUAAAAAUGCAUUACUUACAGUCUGUUUUCUGCAGUAAAGAAAAAUUCUUCAUUUGUGCAAAGUUUGAACCAAGAGGAAAUCAUUUUCAUAGUAAUGAACCUUUGUAUGGUGUUUCCUUGUAUUGGUAAUUGUUAGGUGGAUUACUUUUCUCCAGGGA
This is an RNA transcript of Mandrillus leucophaeus (drill), 706 nucleotides long. It is a transcript of the gene named glia maturation factor beta pseudogene, with no coding region annotated. The record is from RefSeq and is a predicted model, not a curated record. The transcript has a single exon. Lineage: Eukaryota; Metazoa; Chordata; Mammalia; Primates; Cercopithecidae.